Molecule: non-coding RNA, 2624 nt
Organism: Paramisgurnus dabryanus
Lineage: Eukaryota; Metazoa; Chordata; Actinopteri; Cypriniformes; Cobitidae
Source: RefSeq, a predicted model, not a curated record
GGAAUUAUCCUUUAAUAUAUGAGCAGAAUUAUAUUUUGUCCAUUAAAUAAUUUCAAACAUUUAAGCAUACAACUUCAGAUCAAAAGAUUUUAAAGAUCAUGAGAAACAUUUUAGUCAAGUAACCCAAAACCUUUGAUUGCUUUGACCUCGGACGCAGCAAUAUUGACGGACGUUUGAGCGAGAGGGUGUGUAGUGCUCUUCCACCAUACAAUAUAGUUCUCAUUUUUGAUCCACUUAAAGCAACACCAAAGAGUUGUUUCUUACCCUAAAAUAACGUUUCCAAGAAAGUUUCAGUCGUUCAUCCACUCGAAACAGUGUGAACGGCACUUUCACAUUCGCUUUGAAGCCCUCUAUCAUUCGCACUAAAGAAGUUUCCAACCGUCGGGUCGCGGUCCUGUAGUUCGAGUGAAAACUACAAAAACUUGCUUUACGGCAGACCUACAAUCCAAACAGAGCAUGCUUUGCUGCAGUAGGCUAAAUUAUUUGCGACAGUGGUAAUGGACAAUUCCGCUUCCAACCUGUAGGGGGAGCAAAGAGCAAAAACUCUUUUUGUUUUGUGCCACCAUACUUACUCGUGUAACUACUCAUGUAACAGUCUUUAAAUUGGGAAACAUGGAAGUGUUUGGUGGCUUCUAAAUUCAUCCCUGUUUGUGAAUGGGGCUAGGCUAAAUGCUAACACAUUCACGGCGCGCUGUACAAAGAUUAAGUGCACACAUUGAAAAAAGAUAGGUAUGUAUUAAUUCGUCUAAUUUGAGGUAAGAACGUAGUAAAAUAUUGAAAAACAGUGUUUUCCUUUAACUGCUUGCCAAUUGAAUGUGUUAAUUUAGUGCAGUUAAUUAAUACAAAAAUUUAUGAAAUUAAAAAUGAUGCUUUUUGACCUUUUGCAAAUUAAUGUCUGGACCCUCUGAGCAAUUCCAGCUUAAAGUACCAAAUACAUUUAAAGGAUGUUUUUAAUAAGUACUGCAGGCACUUACUGAGAACAGGUUGCUCAUAAUGAGUAGUCAAACCUAUGCAGAUCUGUUUGAUUUACACAGUUCAAAAACAGACAGGCGGAGUGCAACACAAUAAACAAUUUGUUCAAGUCUAUAGAGGAAUUAACUAUUCAUUUAAUGGAGUGUCUUAAAAACUCAGCAUCCAUGGCAUGUUAUGUUCAACAAUAAGGGCAGGGCUGCGUUUCCCAAAACCUUCUUAGCUAUACGUCGUUCUCAAUUUGUAACUUAAGCUGUACCUUAUCGUUAAAGAGCACCUAUUAUGGGAUACACGUUUUUAAACAUCCUUUUGUGUGUAAGUGUGCAUAAGUACAUGCUAACGAUAUUCAAGAAGUACAUACCUCAAAGAAAACGAUGACACGAGUUAUCGUCUCUAACGUUCGAGGACUACAAAAAACACUCGGAUUGUAGGCAACAGUUUACUUCCUGGGAUUGGUGACGUAGAUAAGACCAACAUUAUCAUAGUUCAGCCCUCUCUGCUUUGCUUGGGUACGCCCUCAAAGACGAGGGUGGGGAGCGCCGAGUCAGAAGACAGCUAAAAUGGCGGAGGUUGUGAGUUCCUGCUUUGACCCUGUUUGCAAGCUCUUGUUUCAUUGUUUAAGCGAUUAAAUCUCUCGAGUAGACGCUGUCUCUUUAGAUGCGAGGGCAAAAUAGCACUUUAUGGACUUCCACAGAGGACAUCAUGUUUAAUACGGUUCCGGAAAAAUCCAGUCAGAAGUUGUUCACGGAGUUUUCACAAUAACUGCUUCUCAUGAACCGAAGCUGGAUUUGCGCGAAGUCUCCUCUUGAAAGUUGGAUUACUGCACUUCUGGAUCACAGGCUAUUCGCAGCUGGACACAUCCUUCUACACUGUAUGCAAACAUGCAACAUCAUUACACACAGUACAAGGAGUCAGACUGGCAUAUGAGGAGCAAAGGAACCCAGGCAGUAGCAUCGUUUCACAAUGUUUCCAUCACCAUCAUCAGUGGAUGCCUUUGCUGUCCGUAGCCUGAGAUUUCAGAUUUGCAGCAAAAAAAAAAUUAUUUUCUCAUUUAUUGGAAUGCUGUGCAGGUAUUUGUACCUUGCAGCCAUCCAUUACAAUGUCACCAAGCCGUAACAAAAGCAGGAGAGGGAAAGUACAAGGCUAUGUUCCCAAAACACACAAGUGACAUACCUUAUGUGGAUGAUGUGAUCAGGCUUGUGUUUGAUGAGGUAUUUGAAGAUAAGCUGAAGGAAGCCCUGAUUCCAAUGGACCUGGCAUCACAGUUUGAGAGACCUUCAAAGGAGGACGUGAUUGCAUGCCAUCUUCAGUGCAGGGGUCGUCGAAAGCCAAAAUUGUGACCGAUCUGAUCAGGAAGCUCCAAGCGUAUCUGGAGAACAACACACGACAGGAUGAUAACCUUAUAGUGUCGUCUUAAAUAGCACCAGCUGACAAAGCUUUGAUAUGCCAUUUAUCUGAAUAGAUAGCUGUAAUAAAUGAAUUGAACAAUUUUUGAAACAAGAGCACAAUAUGGUUACUAAAGUAUGUUUAUUUAUAUAUUGUUUAACAUUUAAAUAUAUAUUUGUAAUAAAUAAAAAAAACUUUUGACUGACUAUUAUAUUUUCUUUAAAGUUACAUCUUUUGUUCUUUUGGGUACUUUGUUACUAUAAUGAUAC